RNAcentral lists this unclassified non-coding RNA (358 nucleotides) under soil metagenome. RNAcentral's name for it is "partial contains 5.8S ribosomal RNA, internal transcribed spacer 2, and large subunit ribosomal RNA". The stretch from base 1 to 120 matches the Rfam family "5.8S ribosomal RNA", at positions 35 to 154 of the family's 154-position model. The record is from RNAcentral.
GAUGAAGAACGUAGCGAAAUGCGAUACGUAAUGUGAAUUGCAGAUUUCAGUGAAUCAUCGAAUCUUUGAACGCACAUUGCGCCCGCUAGUAUUCUGGCGGGCAUGCCUGUUCGAGCGUCAUUACGCCCCUCAAGUCCCCUGUGGACUUGGUGUUGGGGAUCGGCGAGGCUGGUUUUCCAGCACAGCCGUCCCUUAAAUUAAUUGGCGGUCUCGCCGUGGCCCUCCUCUGCGCAGUAGUAAAACACUCGCAACAGGAGCCCGGCGCGGUCCACUGCCGUAAAACCCCCCAACUUUUUAUAGUUGACCUCGAAUCAGGUAGGACUACCCGCUGAACUUAAGCAUAUCAAUAAGCGGAGGA